Molecule: long non-coding RNA, 3039 nt
Filed under: Camponotus floridanus (Florida carpenter ant)
Lineage: Eukaryota; Metazoa; Arthropoda; Insecta; Hymenoptera; Formicidae
Description: uncharacterized LOC105249897, transcript variant X2
Source: RNAcentral
CUAUUUUUACCGAUGUAUCAGUAGCUUCUGAUUAAAUUUUUAAUACCGAGAAACUAGAUCUGGACAAAAUGUUGAGGAAAAAUAUGUCAUCGUACGGCGUGAAUCAUACAUAAAGCGUAUCCGUGUUUCCUUCUCUCUCAGUGCCCCGCGCUCAAGAGCGCCCACGACGAACGCCUGGCCGAGCGCACACUAACGCGUUGGGCAAACACACGAAUACACGCGCGUGCACACCACGGGGGUACUGUUCGCACCUAGAAGGGUAGAUCUUCCCGAAGGUGGUAAACGCGGGAGAAAAGCGUUCUGCGAGAUCUGAGAGAAUAGGGUGCUAACAUCGCGCUGUGGGAUAGUAGGAGAGGGGGCGGCUAUGGUGGAAGCACUUUUGUCGGGAUAUACUCGAGCCAAGAAACCGUGAACCAGCCAGUCAGCCAAGCAGCCCACGUAAUAUAAAGAGAUAUGUGCCGCGGAAUAGCAUUACCAUUAGGAGAUAUAGUUUAGCGGAGGAGGCGGCACAGAUGAAAUGAGAUACUGCGGCUGAAUCAUGCAUGAAGCGAAGAAGGUGCGAUUCGCCGUUCUCCUCGCUCUCGACCGUCGCUGUACACGUUUAUCUCGUGUUCUAUGUUCCAUCGCGAGAUGAAACAUCCAGUAUUUUUCUACGUCGGCGAAUCCAUCGCAGGAGCUCGAAACUCCGGGAGAGAAAUUCCGACGAGCGCGGGUCAAAGGGCAAAAAGUGUCUUCGAAGAAAGAAAUUCGGAAUCACGACGUGAAUGAAGUAGGCGGGAGGACCAGAUGGUGGUGGCCGCGGAGACAGUAGUGGGAGCACUUAUGCAUUUAUGCAUUCAUAUUUCCGCGGUCUCCGUUCUCGAGACGAACCGUAAGACGACGACAACGUCGUCGUCGUCGUCGUCGUCGUCAUAGGAGCGCCCGAACCACAGCGAUAUUCCACGCCGUCGAGAAAGAGGAAAGGUAGGGAAGCGAAAGAGGUGGGCGGAAAGUUGCUCCGGAAUAAUAAUACACGCCGGCGCCCGCGCUAGCUCCGCUCUCGCAGGAAAAAAUCUGAAUACAUGAAACGUAAUGACAGAGUGUGUACGCCUCCGCUUUCGCCGGAGCGGUCGCCAGAUUCAGGAUAGCCGUGUCAGGAGGAGCAGAUGUCGUAGGAGUGCCUGAACCAAGUCUUCGACUUUGUUACGAUAUCGGCUUAUCUCGCAAAUCGCGAAAAAACUCAAGGAGAAGAAGAAUGUUACACCCUCCUAUACGUCAUAUUUAUUACAAUAAUUAUUUAAUAAAAAUCUUCAGCUUACAGGAGUAAAAACUAGAAUGUUUCGAGUCAAAGUCAGAAACAAUGAGUAAAGAAAUAAAUUUUUUCAUCACAGUUUUAAUAAAAAAGAUAUAAAAAUGAUACCAUUGUUCUUCGGUGAAAGAAUCGCUGAAAUUGUUGUUGAAUGUCAAAAUCUUGAAUGCAAUGAUGACGUAAAUUUGCUCGGUCCGCCAGUAACGAUGAUGACCAUCGAAGAACGAGGUUAUCGAGGACGACCAGAAGGACGUUGGCGAGAGAAAACAGUCGGGGACGCCGAUGGCGUAAGGGUAGGAAGGUAGAUGGAUGAAAGGAAGGAAGGAAGGAAGGAAGGAAGGAAGGGCGCCGUCGUACCCGUGGCUCCGCCUAUCGGCGCGCCGGCUCGCGGUGGUGAAUACAUUUAGCCUGAUGAGGAAAGACUCGGGACGGACGUCGGCUACCCCUACCAGGAGUGGUGCCAGUGUUCCUUGCUCUGCUCCCUAUGCUAUGCUCGACUCGGCCCGGCUCCUCGUCGCUCGUCGGAUGGAUAUAGAACCCUUAGUUCGUAUUCCUCUCCCUGUCUGCUAGGAACCCCGUCGUGGUUCGUCUCGCAGCCGGUAAAUUCAAAGACGGCGACGACGACGUCGUCGUCGUUGUCAUUCUCGCGCUCGUGCUUCCGGCGAGACACGUUUUUCGGAGUAUCGGUCUCUCAGUGAAUUUUCAAAGUGUCUACCCUCACCUCGCAAGUGACAGGGUUAAUCUAGGUGAUCACGUGCUCUAGCAUGCGAUCGCGACCACGUGCUACACAAGGUUACCCAUGAGGAUUGAACAAAUGGCGAGAUCGACGUUCGCCGUUUCUUAUCAGCACCUUCUUAUCGGGCUUAUAUCGUGGUAACGAUAAAGAGAUGCACCCUCUGAACUCGGUCGAGUAUACGAGCGAGAAGAAAAGGACAGGCCGCUGUCGGUCGCAACAGCAGAAGAAGCGGAAGAGGAAGAAGAGACCGCGGCGAAGAAGUAGCGGGGCGGGGACGGAACUCCGUCGUAAAUCACCAGCAGUACGGAAUAACUGGCAAAAGCGCGAUAAAUCAGGGAUCCCCGGGCACCGAAUUAGGAAAUUGCCUGCUUAAAAACCGCAAUGACGUUAAUCCCAGCGUGCCAGCAAGUCAGCCAGCCAACCAGCCAACCAACGAACCAACCAACCAACCAACCGAGCAACCAGUCAGCCAACCAACCAACCAACCAGUCAGCCAGCCAGCCAGCGAGCUGCCGUUCGACGAGAAAUAGCAGCCAUGAAACGAAGGAAACCCGGGAAGACGAUAAUCAGGAGGGAACUGCAAAUAUUCUUAACUUCAGAAGAAUAUUCUCAACUUCGAGAAACGAAUUUAUUCUUCGUGCAACUUCUGUUCCAUGAUCGAGUUUAGCGAAAUAUCUCGCGCUUGAACAAGAAAUAAAUGUUCCAACUCACUGAGAGCUCUUAUCUUGCAACAAAAAACCCAUGAUCCUUAAGCGAUAACCACAGCGGACUCGCUAAUCCGCCAAUCAAAUUAAUUGGACUGCGUACUUCCGCGCGUUGAUGAAAAAUGCCGCCAAAAACAAGUCAGCUUCGGAACAUUAAUCAAGAGGAGAAUAAAAAGGUAAUAUUAACGCUAGUCGGCAACGGUGGCCGGCAUCAAAGAACCUCCCCUUCCUCCUUCAUUUCUACAGCAGCGUAUUUAGAAAAUUUUUAGAUAAAUUGGAUAAAUUCCAUUUUAUAUUUUUGUUAAUUUCAA